AAUUAGUGGACAAAACUCUGUCCCUAAAUCUCGGGGAUUAUGGCUCUACUCCCCACGACCCAACUUCCCAGACGCUCAAGGCCCACCUUCCUGGAAGUUGAAAGGUUACUGUUGUCUACCCACUGGUGGUAAACACCCCUGGCCUCUUACAACACAGAAGCGAACUUCUGCACAAACUCCAGCCAGAGCCAGGAAGGCUGCAGCUGCUUCUCUGGAACCUGGUCACAUGUCCCAGGUAGAGGAGCCAUUACCGUCUGCUGGUCCAGCUCAGCGGGCAUGGCAAUAGGCCUGGACGUCCUCUGUCCCAAAAUGCAUCCACAAGCCCUUGUUACCUAUAAGACACAGAGGCUUGGCACCAGCUACUUCGUACAGCUGUUGAGACAAGCAUCUGAGAUAAUGUGGAGAGAAACACUGUGCGAACCGAAACACGAUUGGCCUGAGCUAGCAAUCUGUUACCCUGGUCAACGGCGGUCCAGAAAUACUAAAUGGAAAAUUCCAGAAGGAAACAAUUCGUAAGUUUUAAAUCACGUACCAUUCUGAGUACUUCCCUUCAUCUCCUUACGAAGGCAUUUUAUCGUCUUACAUCCUCACAAGAAGAAAGGUGAGAAUGACAUAUUCUGACAGAGAGACCACUUUCACAUAACUUUUAUUACAGUAUAUUGUUGUAAUUGUUCUAUGUUAUUGUUAGCUAUUGUUGUUAAUCUUGUGCAUAAUUUAUAAAUUAAACUUUAUAAUAAGCAUGUAUAUAUAUGAAAAAACGCAGUAUAUACAGAGUUUAGUACUAUCUGUGGUUUCAGGCAUCCACUGGGGAUCUUGGAAUGUGUCCCCCACAGAUAAGGGGGCUAAAAAGAAUGUAAAAUUUCUACUCCACUGCCUCAACAUGUAUCUUAAAUCCAUCAGGUCAUCCUCUAGCCUACUCUCCAGACUUGCUCUGUCUUUUCAAUCUCCCCAGCCCUGUGUCAGAACUCUGCUUGUCACCUUGCAUUCCUCCUUCUGCUUCACUCCUAACACUCAACCAGAGACCAAAUCCUGUAGAUUCUCGCCGGUCAAUCCUCUCCCCAGCUUUCCCACCUCUACUGCCUUGGCAGAUUCUUGAUUCUCAUCUCUUUUCUGCCCUGACUGCUGGGUCAGCCUCCUAAUUGGUUCCUGCAGCACUCUGCCUCAGCUCCAUCUGUCCAUCUGCCCAUCAAUCGUCCAUCCAUCCA
Molecule: long non-coding RNA, 1205 nt
Organism: Rhinolophus ferrumequinum (greater horseshoe bat)
Lineage: Eukaryota; Metazoa; Chordata; Mammalia; Chiroptera; Rhinolophidae
Exons: 3
Source: RefSeq, a predicted model, not a curated record